This is a non-coding RNA of Ictidomys tridecemlineatus (thirteen-lined ground squirrel), 1004 nucleotides long. Lineage: Eukaryota; Metazoa; Chordata; Mammalia; Rodentia; Sciuridae. The record is from RefSeq and is a predicted model, not a curated record.
CCGCCCACUGUCGCGGAACUCACCGCAGUGCAGGACUUGGGAGUUCACCCAGCUUCAGGCCGGCGUGCUCCAGGAGCACGUGGUGCUGGACUGCGCACCGCGCUCUGGGAAGCCUUGGGGCGUCGCUGGGGAAUAACUUCGUCUGAACCACCAAGAUUGUGCAGGCGUUGCAGAGAACCUAGCUGACAUCUUCCCGGCGGGAGUACCAGCUUGUAGUACGGUCCUGGGUUGGCCUUCAAGUUUUCUCAAAGAUAAACAAUAUAUAAGACCAGACAGCUGCUCUCACAGAGGAUCUAGUCUUACAGGGAAGAUGGACAGGCAGAUGGCUGGUUGCAUGUGAUACACUGAUGCCAUCUGUGAUGAGGGUGGUGAGCAGCAGCUGCCAGAGAGAGGAGUCCUUGAAGAGAUGGAGCUGGAUUCCUUGCAGCAUUUGUACGGAGAGUGGGCCGAGGUUUGACUCCCAGAGAAUCACACCGGGGCUAGCGUGGUGCUGAGGUGGUAGGAUCAGCAAAGCAGGCCCUGGGUGAGGAGCAACCUCCCUCCAGUAAUGCAACCCCAGACUGGCUCGGCACUAACCUCUCGCCCAGCCCAGAGGUCUACACACCAGACGCCUUCAUUCCUUUGUAAAUACCGAGUCUUUCCAUCCUCUUCCCUUACUGCUUUAUUUUGCUCUCUCUUCUUUACCAACCCACCCCAUGGUACCCCACUGCUGCUCUGCUCUUCUCUGUUUUCAUGGAAUGGAUGCUUUGGACAUUGGUUCCCAAUAUUGUACACCUUACAAUCACGUCCAUUUCUGAAUCUCCAAACCCUUCCUUUCAUCCAAGAAAUUGUCCUGAUGGAAAACAUCUAUGUUUUUCUGUGCCAACCCCUAAUUUCUCAGGGUCCAUUGGGAUUCAUGCAUGUGACUUGAAGGCAGAGGGAUAACCUCUCCCUCCCUUGACAAUUAUUUUUUCUACUAAUCAAGGUGAGUGUGUUACUCUUCUGAAUGAAUCUGAUUACCAAGU